Molecule: small nucleolar RNA, 87 nt
Organism: Cornus florida
Lineage: Eukaryota; Viridiplantae; Streptophyta; Magnoliopsida; Cornales; Cornaceae
Product: small nucleolar RNA snoR114
Exons: 1
Source: RefSeq, a predicted model, not a curated record
GAGCCGUGAAGAUAAAUCUGCGUUCCAUGUGAUGAUUGGGUUUGUCACAACCUUCCGAUUCGUGAAGAAAGCUGCGCAUCUGAGCUC